AGAGUUUGAUCAUGGCUCAGAAUGAACGCUGGCGGCGUGGAUUAGGCAUGCAAGUCGAACGAGAAUGCGAUCUUCGGAUCGCUAGUACAGUGGCGAACGGGUGAGUAACGCGUGGGAAACCUGCCCUCGAGUGGGGAAUAACAACUCUAACGGGUUGCUAAUACCGCAUAAUAUUGCGGGCCGCAUGGUCCGCAAUCAAAGGUGGCCUCUACUUGUAAGCUGUCGCUUGAGGAUGGUCCCGCGUCCCAUUAGCUAGUUGGUAGGGUAACGGCCUACCAAGGCGACGAUGGGUAGCCGGCCUGAGAGGGUGGUCGGCCACACUGGAACUGAGACACGGUCCAGACUCCUACGGGAGGCAGCAGUCGAGAGGCUUCGGCAAUGGGGGAAACCCUGACCGAGCGACGCCGCGUGGGUGAUGAAGUCCUUCGGGAUGUAAAACCCUGUCAUACGGGAUGAAAAACCGAUCGGUUAAUAGCCUUUCAGUUUGACAGUACUGUAAGAGGAAGCUCCGGCUAACUCCGUGCCAGCAGCCGCGGUAAUACGGGGGGAGCGAGCGUUAUUCGGAUUUACUGGGCGUAAAGGGUUCGUAGGCGGUCAAGUAAGUCAGGGGUGAAAUCUAACGGCUCAACCGUUAAAUUGCCUCUGAAACCGCUUGACUUGAGGACAUGAGAGGAAAGCGGAAUUCUUGGUGUAGCGGUGAAAUGCGUGGAUAUCAAGAGGAACACCAGUGGCGAAGGCGGCUUUCUGGCAUGUUACUGACGCUGAGGAACGAAAGUCAGGGGAGCGAACGGGAUUAGAUACCCCGGUAGUCCUGACUGUAAACGAUGGGCACUAGGUGUGGGAGGUAUCGACCCCUUCCGUGCCGCAGCUAACGCAUUAAGUGCCCCGCCUGGGGAGUACGGCCGCAAGGUUGAAACUCAAAGGAAUUGACGG
This 933-nucleotide ribosomal RNA is filed under the name uncultured bacterium. Its description in RNAcentral is "bacterial SSU rRNA". It matches the Rfam family "Bacterial small subunit ribosomal RNA", at positions 8 to 916 of the family's 1533-position model. The record is from RNAcentral.